ACUUAACAUCUUGCUUACACAUGAUCAUAUAUGAGUCAUGUAUUUAACUUUUUAAAAUUAUACUUUGACCAUUUUCGAGACCCAUCAAGAUAUCCAAGUGGACUCACUUUCUGGAGCCUAUAAGCUGUGUUUCCUAAGCAAUGCUCUUCCUGAAGUGAAUUUCUCUCCCUUCAGAGUGAAAGACAAAAUAGACUCUAUAUCAGUGUGUAUAAUCAAAUCAAGGUGGUCCAAAGAAAAGUUUCUCCUUGAUUUUGACCAUGAAUAAUGAGCUUCAGUAAUCAACAAGUGCUCUUCACAAUACAGGAUUCAGGAAAGGAGUGAGAACUGCAUCAAAGAUGGCCAGAAACUUACCUACAUGUCUGGAGGGACAUGGCCAUGUAUAGAAGAAUAUCAAAGGACCAAAGAACAGGAGCACCACAGUGAUGUGAGCUGACAGUGUGGACAGAGCCUUUGAUGAACCAGAGGAAGAAUGUUUCUGAACAGUAAGAAUGAUGACAAUAUAGGAAAUGACCAGUAUGAAGAAGGAGGCAACAGAGAUGAAUCCACUGUUGGCUGUGACCAUGUUCUCUAAUUGGUAGGUGUCUGUGCAGGCAAGUUUGAUGAACUGAGGAAGGUCACAGUAAAAGCUGUCCAACACAUUAGGACCACAGAAGGGUAAGUUUACCACAAAAGCCAAUUGAACUGUGGAGUGGAUAAGGCCAGUCAUCCAGGCAGCCACUAAAAAGAAGACGCACAUUCUUGGGCUCAUGAUGGUCAGAUAGUGGAGGGGCUUACAUAUGGCAACAUAUCUGUCAAAGGCCAUGGCUAUGAGCAGCACCAUCUCCACACCACCAAUGACAUGGAUGAAGAAGAUUUGAGUGAUGCAGCCUCUAAAGGAGAUGAGUUUACGCUUUCUGAAAAG
Molecule: long non-coding RNA, 901 nt
Filed under: Equus caballus (horse)
Lineage: Eukaryota; Metazoa; Chordata; Mammalia; Perissodactyla; Equidae
Description: lncRNA (ENSECAG00000045616.1)
Source: RNAcentral